Molecule: transfer RNA, 94 nt
Filed under: Armillaria solidipes
Lineage: Eukaryota; Fungi; Basidiomycota; Agaricomycetes; Agaricales; Physalacriaceae
Description: tRNA-Thr
Rfam family: tRNA
About the family: Transfer RNA (tRNA) molecules are approximately 80 nucleotides in length. Their secondary structure includes four short double-helical elements and three loops (D, anti-codon, and T loops).
Source: RNAcentral
UCCCUCUUAGCUCAGUUGGUAGAGCGCGUCACUAGUAUACGUAGCAAAGAUUUUUCUGAUGACGAGGUUAGUCGUUCAAGUCGGCUAGAGGGAA